AGAGUUUGAUCCUGGCUCAGAUUGAACGCUGGCGGCAUGCUUUACACAUGCAAGUCGAGCGGCAGCGGCGGGGGCAACCCUGGCGGCGAGCGGCGAACGGGUGAGUAAUGCAUCGGAACGUGUCCCGUAGUGGGGGAUAACCCGGCGAAAGCCGGGCUAAUACCGCAUAUGCUCUACGGAGGAAAGGGGGGAUCCGCAAGGACCUCUCGCUAUGGGAGCGGCCGAUGUCCGAUUAGCUUGUUGGUGGGGUAAUGGCUUACCAAGGCGACGAUCGGUAGCUGGUCUGAGAGGAUGAUCAGCCACACUGGGACUGAGACACGGCCCAGACUCCUACGGGAGGCAGCAGUGAGGAAUUUUGGACAAUGGGGCAACCCUGAUCCAGCCAUGCCGCGUGCGGGAAGAAGGCCUUCGGGUUGUAAACCGCUUUUAGUCGGGAAGAAAAGGCCUGGGCGAAUACCCUGGGUUUUUGACGGUACCGGCGGAAUAAGCACCGGCUAACUACGUG
This 505-nucleotide ribosomal RNA is filed under the name uncultured bacterium. RNAcentral describes it as "bacterial SSU rRNA". It matches the Rfam family "Bacterial small subunit ribosomal RNA", at positions 8 to 507 of the family's 1533-position model. The record is from RNAcentral.